AAGUUCUUACAGUGGGGAUUUGAAGAACAAUAUGAAUCAGCAGGAACAUAAAGAUACACCAAAGCAAAGGUAAAUUUACUUAAGAUACACUUUCUGCAAUUAAUGUUUCUUGGCAAUUAGUUAUAAGAAUUUUCGUCUGAUAUUUCCUGCCAAAUCUGUUGUCGACUGGUAACGCAGAAAACAGUUGCAUACAUGGACAGAACUAGUGAGAAUUAACUCGGAAAAUGGGCUUGAAGGACCUACAGAUGAUGGGUAUAAUUGGAGAAAGUACGGGCAGAAGGGCAUUCUGGGAGCUAAAUAUCCCAGGUAUAGUGUGCCAAAUGCACCCUUAUUCUGCAUAGAAGAGACCAAAGCCACCCAUUAACUAGUUAACCAUGUCUGUCCACACACACACACACACAAAGAACAAAAGUAAAGAAAGUGUAAACAAAUCUUUAACAGGUAUAUUUAUAUUUGCAGAAGCUACUAUAGAUGUAAAUACCGUCAUCUUCAAAACUGUUCCGCAACAAAGCAAGUGCAGGGAUCUGAUGAUGAUCCUACAACAUUUGAGAUAACAUACAAAGGAACACAUACGUGUAAGCAUUCUGCGAAUGGAGUUCCACAGCCAGCAUCAAUUGGAAAACAAGAAUUAAGACAUAAUUCUCACAAACAUCAAUCACAAACGAACCAGAUGCUUUUAAACAUCCGAGCAGAUCACAGAGUCCAAACUGAGGACUUGGAGAAAACCGAGAAGCCAUCUGUGUCCUCAUUUCCCUCAACAUUUGGAUGCUUAGGAGAAAAUUCUACAUUCCUGAUCUCUACGCUUGUUGAUGACAAUCACUUCGAUUCUUAUUCUCAAUUCAUGUCAGAAUCAAAUUACUUACCCUACCAGAGGAGCAGCUUUGAGGGUGAUCAUAAUUUACAAUUCCUAGAGUCUGAUGUUGCUGAGAUAAUAUCAGCCAACACUUCGACAAGCAAUUCUCCAAUUAGAACCAUGGAGUUCCCAGUUGAACCUUAAUUUUCCAUUCGACACCUCAGGAUUUUCUACAUAAUCAUAAAUUUGAUGUUGCAGAAGAGGAAAAUAAAUAGAAGAUAACGUGAUUCUGUACCACAGUAUUUGAUCCUUGUCGCAUUAAAAACCAGAGACAUUCUUGUAAAAAUUAGUUAUAGUCUCAAAAUGCUAGCAGAUAAAUUAGGAAGUAAAAAUCUAUUUAUUAAAACUUCUGCAGUCUAAUUUUCAUUUACAGCUGCUCAUUCAGUUUCUUCAAAAUCAACUAGUGAAAUUUAGCAUAACCUAGUAAGGAAGGUUAGCAAUUCGAAUCAAAAGGGUUCAUACAGAUGAAGGAAACCUGUGCAGGUUCACAGCUAAUUAACAAGAACAGAGCAUUAGAAUUAACGGUUCACAAGGAUUAAAGAACCUUUACAAUCAAUAUUAGAGAGGGUUUGACUAAGCUCAAAAAUUUUAACCAUAAAUAACACUAAGUAAUUUUAUAGUGAUCAAUUGAAAACAAUUAAAUUACUUAUUUUGACAUUAUGAAAAGAGGUAAUUCGAUAAGCUUAGUGACUUAUUUCUAUUAUAAGGAAGAAAGAAGUUCAAAUUCGUCUUUAUUGAAAAAUCGAAGAAAAAGUCCUUUCAUUAAAAGUCAGAAAAACUCGCCUAUGCUUUCUUUGUGGGUGCAUCUUGGCCAUGCGCCAUGCAGGAAAAGUUGAAGCAACGUCUUCAGUAUCUGUUGAUGGAAGUUCUUACAGUGGGGAUUUGAAGAACAAUAUGAAUCAGCAGGAACAUAAAGAUACACCAAAGCAAAGGUAAAUUUACUUAAGAUACACUUUCUGCAAUUAAUGUUUCUUGGCAAUUAGUUAUAAGAAUUUUCGUCUGAUAUUUCCUGCCAAAUCUGUUGUCGACUGGUAACGCAGAAAACAGUUGCAUACAUGGACAGAACUAGUGAGAAUUAACUCGGAAAAUGGGCUUGAAGGACCUACAGAUGAUGGGUAUAAUUGGAGAAAGUACGGGCAGAAGGGCAUUCUGGGAGCUAAAUAUCCCAGGUAUAGUGUGCCAAAUGCACCCUUAUUCUGCAUAGAAGAGACCAAAGCCACCCAUUAACUAGUUAACCAUGUCUGUCCACACACACACACACACAAAGAACAAAAGUAAAGAAAGUGUAAACAAAUCUUUAACAGGUAUAUUUAUAUUUGCAGAAGCUACUAUAGAUGUAAAUACCGUCAUCUUCAAAACUGUUCCGCAACAAAGCAAGUGC
RNAcentral lists this long non-coding RNA (2234 nucleotides) under Olea europaea (common olive). RNAcentral describes it as "long non-coding RNA (OEUR_LNC012944)". The record is from RNAcentral. Lineage: Eukaryota; Viridiplantae; Streptophyta; Magnoliopsida; Lamiales; Oleaceae.